This 641-nucleotide ribosomal RNA is filed under the name Cellulomonas sp. I15A-00618. Its description in RNAcentral is "bacterial SSU rRNA". It matches the Rfam family "Bacterial small subunit ribosomal RNA", at positions 87 to 741 of the family's 1533-position model. The record is from RNAcentral. Lineage: Bacteria; Bacillati; Actinomycetota; Actinomycetes; Micrococcales; Cellulomonadaceae.
GUGGAUCAGUGGCGAACGGGUGAGUAACACGUGAGUAACCUGCCCCUGACUCUGGGAUAAGCCUUGGAAACGAGGUCUAAUACCGGAUACGAGACGCUCGGGCAUCCGAAGUGUCUGGAAAGAUUUAUCGGUCAGGGAUGGACUCGCGGCCUAUCAGCUUGUUGGUGGGGUAGUGGCCCACCAAGGCGACGACGGGUAGCCGGCCUGAGAGGGCGACCGGCCACACUGGGACUGAGACACGGCCCAGACUCCUACGGGAGGCAGCAGUGGGGAAUAUUGCACAAUGGGCGCAAGCCUGAUGCAGCGACGCCGCGUGAGGGAUGAAGGCCUUCGGGUUGUAAACCUCUUUCAGCAGGGAAGAAGCGCAAGUGACGGUACCUGCAGAAGAAGCGCCGGCUAACUACGUGCCAGCAGCCGCGGUAAUACGUAGGGCGCAAGCGUUGUCCGGAAUUAUUGGGCGUAAAGAGCUCGUAGGCGGUUUGUCGCGUCUGCUGUGAAAACUCGAGGCUCAACCUCGGGCUUGCAGUGGGUACGGGCAGACUAGAGUGCGGUAGGGGAGACUGGAAUUCCUGGUGUAGCGGUGGAAUGCGCAGAUAUCAGGAGGAACACCGAUGGCGAAGGCAGGUCUCUGGGCCGCAACU